This 2279-nucleotide unclassified non-coding RNA is filed under the name Ooceraea biroi (clonal raider ant). Its description in RNAcentral is "odorant receptor 4-like, transcript variant X7". Lineage: Eukaryota; Metazoa; Arthropoda; Insecta; Hymenoptera; Formicidae. The record is from RNAcentral.
UUAUUCUACGAAUUUUUUUCUCGGGAAAGUCCACAGAUGUUGAAUUCCCUUCAGUGUAAUAUUGAUCGCUUAAUCAUUGUCUCCCUCUCGGGGUAGGUGUCCUGCGAGUAUAUCUAUCACGCUAUGUGCUACCUUCUACUCCGUUUAUACAUACUUACAUAAUUUCCGUUGGCGAAAAACUGACACAAUUGUAUAUAAUGUUACAUGAAUAUAUAAUACGCAAUUGUUUCUUUGAGAGAAAGAGUUUCAAAAAUUGUCACAGAAUGUUUUAUAGUCCAACGAAACUCCAUAAACUGAGGAUAGCUUGUAAAAUGAAGAUCUCUGUAAAGGAACGAUAUUUUAGCUUCAAUCGAAUUACACUACUCAUUGUUGGCUUAUGGCCUUAUCAACAAUCAGGUCUUGCUCGAUUUCUGAGAACACUCUGUCUUAGUAUUUUGAUGAGCGUCGUUGCAUUAAUGCUUUCAAGGCUUUGCUUUGCACAAUAUAGCUUUGAAUUUAUUAUUAAUCAGCUUUGUUUUUCAACAUGUUAUACUUUUUAUGCGAUUCUGUAUAUCGCAUUUUGGCUUAACAGAGAAGCUAUAAGAUAUUUAUUGGAGCAAUUACAAUACAUUUACAAUAGGCUAAAUGAUGAGAAUGAAAUUGCUAUCUAUGAUAAAUACGGGAACAUUGGAAAACGAAUAACGAUCGCCUGUAUAAUAAUUGCAGUGUGCAAUCAGUUUGUUGUUGUUGCAAUGCAAUGUUGGCCGUACAUUUUUUAUGUGAUUCUGCCCGAAAACGGGACUUAUGCGGGCCACUUGUUAGUAGUUGUGAGCAAAUAUUUCGCGGUACAAGAAAAAUAUUCUUAUUUAGUUCUACUGCAUAUAAACAUCGCUAUUUCUGUAGGAGCAUUUAUAUUCUUAGCAGUAGGAACAAUGAUGUUAUCAUGUUUCAAACAUAUCUGUGGAAUGUUCAGAAUUGCUAGCUACCGUUUUGAACAAGCAAUAACGACUACUACGUUACAAAGUAUUACCUUAAAAAAUAAAACUAUGAUGUACAAGGAGUUAAUCUGUGCCGUUGACAUUCAUCGCAAAGCUACAGAGUUUAUCAAAUUCCUUGUAAGUAGCGUGGAUCGGUCACUUUUCGUUGUCGUAAUAGUUACUGUGCUUUGCGUGAGUUUCAAUCUUUAUGGAAUAUUUCACAUUGAACCAGAUAAGCAGGAAAUAGAAGUAACAUUGUCUCAUCUUAUUAUUUUAUGUUUCGUUUUUGCAUACAUGUUUUUAGCCAACUAUGCCGGACAGGAAAUUAUGGAUUAUAAUAAUCAUGUAUUUCUUACCGUGUACAAUGCUCCAUGGUACCUAGCACCGUUGGAGAUACAGAAGUUGAUCUUGAUCUUAUUACAAAGAAGUAACAAAGCUUUCACGUUGAGUAUCGGUGGAUUAUUCACAUUAUCUCUAGAAUGCUUUGCUUCGCUAGCAAGUGCAUCAAUAUCUUACUUCACUCUUAUGCUAUCUUUGUAAUAAUUACGAAAAUACAAUAUCUAAUAAUAUCAUAUAUUUGUAACGAUACACAUUUUGUAAUCUGUCACCGACUGGGAACUCCGCCGCUGUUAGGUGGGAAAAGGGCGCACCACGCCCACAAAGAAUACCGAAAAAUAAAUCAAGCCGAACAGUCCCGGAAACCAAGGAGGCACAUACGUUCAGUUAAACUUUUAAAAAACGAAUUGUCCAAUUAAAAUACUCCUACGCUUAACUGAAGACAAUAUUAUUAUAUACAUUCUGUCCGAAUUAUAAGUCAUUUGGGUACAAAUUGGCCAAGAUACGUGGACGGCCAGCUACGAGAAUGUAGUUUUGAGAAAAACGGAAAAAAGAGAAGAAAGUAAAAAAAAGGUUUAAAAUCAAUUAUGUUACAUAGAAUAGUUGAAUUUCUUGUAACAAACCAAAGUAGGUCCAAUCCAAGUAAGUAUAAGGAACCUUCUCCUACAGUGGCAGUUUCUUCGGUUUCGCUGCUGCAUUUUUUCAACACUCUACUCUCUACGCGACGCCUCUUGAGGUCGGAUCUCGGCAGCGGAAAUUCAGUACUCGUCCUAGCGGCCUCGAUACUGUGCUGCUGUCAAUCCAGUUUUUUAUAUUCUCAUAUAUCAAAAUUCUAGUCCUUCCUGGCAAUAGUGACUUUGGUCACUAGAACUAUUAUGAUUCAGAGUGGCUCAAAUUGUUUAAUAUUUCAUCCACAGAAUUCUAAUGUUUGCGAAUGAUUAGCCCAUUAUAAAAGUACUCAGUUCAAUUAUAAUAACUUUCCAACAA